Molecule: long non-coding RNA, 2977 nt
Organism: Oryctolagus cuniculus (rabbit)
Lineage: Eukaryota; Metazoa; Chordata; Mammalia; Lagomorpha; Leporidae
Source: Ensembl
GUGUCACUCAUGGGACUCAGGGUCAUGGCACGUGUGUUCCACCUGGGCCACCUCUUACCUCCUGUGGCACAUUGUCACCUCUUCUGUUGACACUUCUGAGUGUGUUUCCUCAGUUCUGAGGGAGCAACAGCCCCUCUGCCAAUGCUCUCAUUUUAAUAUUUUUGCAUAUUAAAAUUUUAUUUGAAAGGCAGACACAUACACAGAGUAAGAGAGAGAGAGAAAGAGAUCUCCCAUCUCCUGGUUCAGUUUCUUUAUUUUUAUUUUAUUUUAUUUUAUUUUAUUUUAUUUUAUUUUUAACAGGCAGAGUGGACAGUGAGAGAGACAGAGAGAAAGGUCUUCCUUUGCCAUUGGUUCACCCCACAAUGGCCACUGCAGCUGGCACGCUGUGGCCGGUGCACUGCACUGAUCGGAAGCCAGGAGCCAGGUGCUUCUCCUGGUCUCCAUGGGGUGCAGGGCCCAAGCACUUGGGCCAUCCUCCACUGCACUCCCAGGCCACAGCAGAGAGCUGGACAGGAAGAGGAGCAACCGGGACAGAAUCCGGUGCCCCGACCGGGACUAGAACCUGGUGUGCCGGCACCGCAGGCAGAGGAUUAGCCUAGUGAGCUGCAGCGCAGCCCCUGGCUCACUUUCCAAAUGCCUGCACCAACCAGGGCUGGGCCAUGCCAAAGUCAGGAGUCAGAAACUCAAUCUGGGUCCCACGGGGUAGCGGGGACCCGACUACUUUAGGUGUCACGUGUAGCACUCCUGGGAGCCCUUAGUUAGGGAGCUGCAGUUGGAAGCAGCGCUGGGCCUGGAACCCAGUCUCUGAUGGGGACUGCAAGUAUUCUCCAACUGGUGUCCCAACCACGGCCCAGACACCCACCCCUGCCCCUUGCUCUUCAAGGCCUGGCCUCCCCCCAGGAGCUGUGUGUCCAGGGUUUGUGUGGUGGAACGUGUCUGGGACUUCACUACCUGCUGCUGGACUUCUGGUACUUCAAGAAUGAACUUGGCACCCUUAGGAAGGAAGCCCUGGAAGACUGCUCCUCACCAGUCCCUCUGGCCUGCCUACUGCCUCUGACAUCUGCAGUGAGAAUGCAUCCAGUCUCAAGGUGAGAUUAUGUGCUGUGAUGUAGCUUUUAUAAACAUUUGAUUUCUAUUUGGUGCAUGUGAAUUUAAGACCUGAGACAGUUAGACUUAAGGUGACCAUCCUUUUAGGGGUGGGAUAAUAAGUAAAAACCCCAUAGUUCCUUCUCCAUUUGGCUGCCUCUAAGGAAAACAGCCCCUAAAACUGAUGACAUAGGACUUGUUCUGUUUUGUGUAAGAGCAGGCAAGGAGGUUGGAUGGAGUCAGACUUGGGUUAAUCUACAUACUCAGGUCCACAGCCAGGGGCUUGGGUUCUUUCCACCUUUCUGCUCUUCUAGCCUCGAGGUGUUGGCCUUUUCUUGUUACUUCUUUGUGGGUUGCGUGUUGACUGAGAGAGCUUGAGAUCACCUCCAGGGACUGCAAUAACUAGGAGAAGAAGAUAAACUGACUUACUAGAAUAUUCUACUUAAGGUCAGGAACCUUUGCCAGAAGACCUUGGAAGAUCUGACAUCUAGUUUCACUGUCCAGCUCCAGUUAACUGGCAGGAGGCCCAGGCUUUCCUGGCUGCCAUGGAUGAUCCUAGGGCUGUGGGGAGAGUGAUCCCCUUGAAGGGGUGAUGUGGCUCUUCUAAAAUAUGACAGCAAGUGCUGUGACAAGCUUUCCAUUAGAAGGUGGGGUUUAUAUGCUCUGCCUGUGAGUCAGGGCAGGUGUGUGACUGCUUGGACCACUUGAAUGCAGAGGAAGUGAUGCAGUGUGACUUCGGAGGCAAGAAGAUCCAAAGCCAUACUGUCGCUCCCCCUCUUCAUGGAGGAAUGACACUAAACCCUGCCUAGGCUUCAUAUCCGAGUCACGGCACCAUUAUGUCGCUCCCCCUCUUCAUGGAGGAACGACACUAAACCCUGCCUAGGCUUCACAUCCAAGUCACGGCACCAUUAUGUCGCUCCCCGUCUUCGUGGAGGAACAACACAGGACCCUGCGCUGUUCUUUCAUCUGCUCGGCCCUCCCCGGGUUUGCUGCUGGUUCUUCCCGGGUUGGCUGCUGUCCCUUCCACCUCCGUGGAAGGGCGGUUCCCCCUGCCACUUUCCCCACUUCCGCGGGGGAGCGGCACACCGCCGGCCGGCUCUCUCGGGGGCUGCACAGGUGUUCCCUCAGAUGUUCCUCUUAGAUGUUCCUGGUGCAUGCCGUCUCUCUCCUCCUUUAUAGUCCUCUUCCACCAAUCCCAACUCUGCUACCCACACGCCGAGUACGCUGCUCUCCUCCAAUCAGGAGCAGGUCCUGCUGUUUAUUGGUUGAACUGGAGGCAGCUGUGUAGAAGCUGUUUCCCUUCUCAGCGCCAUAUUGUGGGAAAGCAGAUGCAUAGAAUAAGUCUUAAUUCCAGUAACUUAGUCUAGUCCGAGUUGCUCCCAGUUGCUCCCCACACAUACAGCUUGCACCUUGCCCACCAGGACACUUGCUCCUGGGUACUUCAGCAGCCUUAUGUGAAAUUCAACUUCCCCAGGGCCACCAUGCAGGGAGAAAGUCAAAGUCAUAUGGAGGGACAUGUGCAAGAGCUCUGGUUAAUAAUUCCAGAUGAGGGGCCGGCACUGUGACGCAGCAGGUUAAAGCCCCAGCCUGCAGGGCCGGCAUCCCAUAUGGGCACCGUUCGAGUCCCAGCUGCUCCUCUUCCAAUCCAGCUCUCUGCUAAUGUCCUGGGAAAGCACUGAAAGAUGGCCCAAGUGCUUGGGCCCUCGCACUCAUGUGGGACCAGGAAGAAGCUCCUGGCUCCUGGCUUUGGAUCAGCUCAUCUCUGGCUGUUGCAGUCAUUUGGGGAGUGAACCAGUGGAAUGGAAUGGAAGACCUCUCUCUCUGGCUCUACUUAUAUCUGUAACUCUGUCUUUCAAAUAAAUAAAAUAAUUCUUUAAAAAAAUUAAUUCCC